This 253-nucleotide ribosomal RNA is filed under the name uncultured archaeon. RNAcentral describes it as "partial 16S ribosomal RNA". It matches the Rfam family "Archaeal small subunit ribosomal RNA", at positions 474 to 727 of the family's 1478-position model. The record is from RNAcentral.
AACCAGCACCUCAAGUGGUCAGGAUGAUUAUUGGGCCUAAAGCAUCCGUAGCCUGUUCUGUAAGUUUUCGGUUAAAUCUAUGCGCUCAACGUAUAGGCUGCCGAAAAUACUGCAGAACUAGGGAGUGGGAGAGGUAGACGGUACUCGGUAGGAAGGGGUAAAAUCCUUUGAUCUAUUGAUGACCACCUGUGGCGAAGGCAGUUCACUGGACCGUGAUCGACGCUGAGGAGCGAAAGCUAGGGGAGCAAACAGG